This is a long non-coding RNA of Gopherus evgoodei (Goodes thornscrub tortoise), 116 nucleotides long. RefSeq lists it as uncharacterized. The transcript has 3 exons. The record is from RefSeq and is a predicted model, not a curated record. NCBI's taxonomy places the organism in Eukaryota, Metazoa, Chordata, Testudines, Testudinidae.
GCUAGGAUGAGGGAGGGGGCUCAGGGUUGGGGCAGGAGGUUUGGGUGUGGGGCACUUACCUGGGCAGUGACCCUUUGAUGUGAGGAGUGCCGGUGGGAAUUUGGGUGUGUGUGUGU